CCUACGGUGGGCAGCAGUGGGGAAUAUUGCACAAUGGGGGAAACCCUGAUGCAGCGACGCCGCGUGAGUGAAGAAGUAUUUCGGUAUGUAAAGCUCUAUCAGCAGGAACGAGACAAGACGGUACCUGACUAAGAAGCCCCGGCUAACUACGUGCCAGCAGCCGCGGUAAUACGUAGGGGGCAAGCGUUAUCCGGAAUCACUGGGUGUAAAGGGAGCGUAGACGGCUGUGCAAGCCUGAAGUGAAAGGCGGGGGCCCAACCCCUGGACUGCUUUGGGAACUGUACGGCUGGAGUGCAGGAGAGGUAAGUGGAAGUCCUAGUGUAGCGGUGAAAUGCGUAGAUAUUAGGAGGAACACCAGUGGCGAAGGCGGCUUACUGGACUGUAACUGACGUUGAGGCUCGAAAGCGUGGGGAGCAAACAGGAUUAGAUACCCUAGUAGUC
This 441-nucleotide ribosomal RNA is filed under the name uncultured bacterium. RNAcentral describes it as "partial 16S ribosomal RNA". It matches the Rfam family "Bacterial small subunit ribosomal RNA", at positions 338 to 795 of the family's 1533-position model. The record is from RNAcentral.